Molecule: ribosomal RNA, 496 nt
Filed under: uncultured bacterium
Lineage: Bacteria
Description: partial 16S ribosomal RNA
Rfam family: Bacterial small subunit ribosomal RNA
Source: RNAcentral
AUGAACGCUGGCGGCGUGCCUAAUACAUGCAAGUCGAGCGAACAGACGAGGAGCUUGCUCCUCUGACGUUAGCGGCGGACGGGUGAGUAACACGUGGAUAACCUACCUAUAAGACUGGGAUAACUUCGGGAAACCGGAGCUAAUACCGGAUAAUAUAUUGAACCGCAUGGUUCAAUAGUGAAAGACGGUUUUGCUGUCACUUAUAGAUGGAUCCGCGCCGCAUUAGCUAGUUGGUAAGGUAACGGCUUACCAAGGCGACGAUGCGUAGCCGACCUGAGAGGGUGAUCGGCCACACUGGAACUGAGACACGGUCCAGACUCCUACGGGAGGCAGCAGUAGGGAAUCUUCCGCAAUGGGCGAAGGCCUGACGGAGCAACGCCGCGUGAGUGAUGAAGGUCUUCGGAUCGUAAAACUCUGUUAUUAGGUAAGAACAAAUGUGUAAGUAACUAUGCACGUCUUGACGGUACCUAAUCAGAAAGCCACGGCUAACUACGUG